This 695-nucleotide ribosomal RNA is filed under the name uncultured bacterium. Its description in RNAcentral is "bacterial SSU rRNA". It matches the Rfam family "Bacterial small subunit ribosomal RNA", at positions 69 to 761 of the family's 1533-position model. The record is from RNAcentral.
GUAACAGGCCGCAAGGUGCUGACGAGUGGCGAACGGGUGAGUAAUGCAUCGGAACGUGCCCAGUCGUGGGGGAUAACGCAGCGAAAGCUGCGCUAAUACCGCAUACGAUCUGUGGAUGAAAGCGGGGGACCGUAAGGCCUCGCGCGAUUGGAGCGGCCGAUGUCAGAUUAGGUGGUUGGUGGGGUAAAGGCUCACCAAGCCAACGAUCUGUAGCUGGUCUGAGAGGACGACCAGCCACACUGGAACUGAGACACGGUCCAGACUCCUACGGGAGGCAGCAGUGGGGAAUUUUGGACAAUGGACGCAAGUCUGAUCCAGCCAUUCCGCGUGCAGGAUGAAGGCCCUCGGGUUGUAAACUGCUUUUGUACGGAACGAAAAGGUUUCUCUUAAUACGAGGAGCUCAUGACGGUACCGUAAGAAUAAGCACCGGCUAACUACGUGCCAGCAGCCGCGGUAAUACGUAGGGUGCAAGCGUUAAUCGGAAUUACUGGGCGUAAAGCGUGCGCAGGCGGUUAUAUAAGACAGAUGUGAAAUCCCCGGGCUCAACCUGGGAACUGCAUUUGUGACUGUAUAGCUAGAGUACGGUAGAGGGGGAUGGAAUUCCGCGUGUAGCAGUGAAAUGCGUAGAUAUGCGGAGGAACACCGAUGGCGAAGGCAAUCCCCUGGACCUGUACUGACGCUCAUGCACGAAAGCG